CAGGGAUCAGAGCCAAGCUGCAGUUGCAACCUAUGCUGUGGCAACACCAGAUCCUUAACCCACUGUGCCUGGCCAGGGAUUGAACCUGCAUCCCAGUGCUGCAGACAUCACUGAUGCAUUCUGUUGCAGUACAGCGGGGAACUCCAUGCAGCUGAAUUCUAAAUGAGAACUCAUUUCCUGAUCUACUUUUCUCCAACAUUCCAUUCCAAUCAACCACCUUGAAGAUAAAUACUGUAUGCAUAAAGCAAUUUAUAGACUUUUGUAGAAAACAACCUUUUAAAUUUAAGGGAAACAACUAAAGGAAAAAAGAUUAAAAUGCUUGUGCGAGCAGUAAUCUGUUGAAAAGGUGAUGAACCAGUGUCUCUAUCUGUACCUUACACAACUCAGGGUUUAUGUUUUGGGUCUUAUGAACUCAACUCCUUGCUUGUGAUCAUGGAUCACAGUUCUAUUAGAGGCAAAUGCCUUUGAAUCUGCAUGCUUUUAGGCACUUGUCUGAAGUAACCCACGAGUAGGAAUAAGGAAACGGACAUAAUCUCUGCAACCAAAACCAACUUUUACUCUCCAGGGCCUUGGAAGAGGGCGCUAAAUGAGAGGUUCAUUUAUCUCCAGGCACCUCUGCUUUUGUUCCUACAUGAACGAGCCGUUGAGUAUCUGGUUUAAUAUCUGAACUUCUUUUUUCCAGAUUACUUAACUCCCAUUUCAUCUAGCGAUGAAUCAAGAAGGUACCCUCUGAUAGCUAUGAUACUGCCUUCCAUGUAACAUUUGAAAAGAGAGGUAAUUACCUAGUCAGGUAGAAAAGGAGGCAAAGUGCCUUCUCGUUUUUGUUUUUGUUUUGUCUUUUUGCCUUUUCUAGGGCUGCUCCCGCGGCAUAUGGGGGUUCCCAGGCUAGGGAUCUAAUCGGAGCUGUAGCCGUUGGCCUAUGCCAGAGCCACAGCAACGCGGGAUCCGAGCCGCGUCUGCGACCUACACCACAGCUCACAUCAAAGCUGGAUCCUUAACUGACUGAGCGAGGCCAGGGAUCGAACCCACAACCUCAUGGUUCCUAGUUGGAUUUGUUAACCACUGCGCCAGGACGGGAACUCCAUCAUUUCUUUUCUAUGGUCCUCUGUCACUCGUUUUCUUGGUUGCUGAUAAGUGAUUCAUAAUCUAUAGUAUCUCUCACACACCGUAUUUUGGCAUGUGAGCAAUGCAGACAAACGUAUUUCUCACCUCCCUGUUAAACACACACCAACACCUGCUGGCAUUGUUUCACAUGUACUAAACUACCUCAAUUAAAACAAUCUGACUUUGAUGAUCAAUUCCAGGGCUACAUGAAGAUUCAAUGAGUUAAGAAUUUAACCUGUUAAUAAGUGACAAGCCUCCCAGUUUCGCCUUGGAAAAUCUGGAAGAAAAUUAGGAAAAGAGGAAGAAGGGGUUUCUCCGCAUGACUAUGAAUCACCACAUGCAAUGUAUUCACUUUCUGCUGCUCAUUUUUUUACUAUGAUACAGAUCCAGGCAGAGUAACUCUGCCUCAUCCCUUGGUUUUCAGAAGUCGGAUUGCCUGGAGUUAAUUCCUUGGCUCCAAGAAGUUUGUCACUACAUGUCUGUAUCUUUAUCUAUAGAUAUUCUUAUUUUUUUUAUUUUUAUUUAUUUAUUUUUUUUUCUAUUUCUUUGGGCCGCUCCCGCGGCAUAUGGAGGUUCCCAGGCUAGGGGUCGAAUCGGAGCUGCAGCCACUGGCCUACGCCAGAGCCACAGCAACGCGGGAUCCGAGCCGCGUCUGCAACCUACACCACAGCUCACAGCAACGCCGGAUCCUUAACCCACUGAGCAAGGGCAGGGACCGAACCCGCAACCUCAUGGUUCCUAGUCGGAUUCGUUAACCACUGCGCCACGACGGGAACUCCCCUCAAAUGUGCUCCUAGAGACACACACUGCCCCUUAGGUAGGAUCUGGCAGGCAGGAGGUGGCUCCUGUGCUCCAAGCCCUCUGCAAUGCAUGCAGUGGCUCAGGGCUCACGACUGGUUGGUUGGCAGGGCUUGGAACAUCUCCGCACACAGUCAACUCCCUGCUUUAGAGCACCUCCCAUAGUUCUGGCCCAUUAACCUGAGCACAACAACUUGAUGAAUUAAUGCUUAUAUAGGCACUGUUGGCAGCUUCUAAUUAAAUAAUUAUGGCUAAGCAGCUGCACGGAAGCUGUUACGUACCCUGGAAAGCCAGCUGUCCGUCUUAUUGGUCCUAAGAUAGAGGAAGAGUUAAUUAACACUUCUGGCCACAAGGUACAAAAGGCAAGCGUAUCACAAGCAAUAUAUGUGCUGUGCAAUACGAAGGUGCUGUGUACUUGAGCGAGCCUGUCCAUGGAGUGAUGGAGGGCAAACUGCUCCUUGGCAACCUCUCAGCCAAGAAGGAGGCAAUUAUAUGAUCAGAGAACAGAGUUUGUCCAGAGCAAUCUAAGGAGGACACAGUGUUACACAGAUGAAUCUUUAAUGAGCACAGAAAUGUCACAGAGCUAGUAGACAAAUACACUCAGGUCAGGGUCUCACUUAGAUGAGCAAGGGGUCAGAAAUCUAGUGUGCUCAUUUUGAGGGGGUAUGGCUGGUAGGUUUUCUUGUAUUUGACCGAAGCUUCUUAAGAGGCUGUUCUAAAUAUUAGAAAUUAGAGAAUAAGGUAAAUAGCACAAAUCUAGAUUUAAACACUAAGAUCCAUUUUUUUCCCAAAAGUUAAAAGACAUUUGUUUUACAGGAUCACAGAUAAUGUCAGAUUCCUUUAUAGAAGGCUAGAAAGCUAAAGUCUUAUCUCUACACGGGUGGAAAAUUCACCAGAAGGAAGAAAGAAUCUGACAACUAAGUUCCAACACAGAGAAAAGUAUACAUUCUACAUCAAGGCCGCAGAUAGGGGUACUGGACCAAAUAAUGCUUGUUAGACCCAUGAGAAUGCUACUAAACGGAGAGCUGAUUUCAUUAUCCUCCAUACGCUGUUCUUUCCAUACAAUUCACGGGUCUUCACUUCUAAAACCCACACGUGUGACAGUGCAGGACAGGACAACUGGGCUUCCCACAGGCCUUGUCACCAAAGUUUCCAGCACCAUCUCCAAAUGAAUAAACACAACUGCAGGCAAAAAUCAGUCCAAGAUAGUCAUUGAUAUUUGAAUCUCAAAGGGUAUAGAUCUGCCUUAAAAUAAGAAUGGAGAAAAACUGGAAACAUACUUCCUAUGGACUUCACUUCACCCAACUUCCAGACCUGUUGAAAAUCAGCCAUCCAUCAAGGAGUCAACUUUACAGACUCAUUUCCUGUUCUCCCUUCAGUGAUCCCCAGCUUACAGUUUAUUUAAAAUAAUACCAUUUCUUAAAAUAAGGCAUUCUCCACAGUAAACCAUCAUUUCACCCAACGGACUGAUCUCAAAAAAACGCUCGCUUGUGGAGCUUCCGUACAAGGGUUCCCUCCCUUUUCUCCCUUCUGGUUUCCUUUGAUGUCGGUGAUGCUAUCACCUCUGCUGUCUGCAGAUGAUUGCACAUGAAGGACAAUUCUCAAGGAUUCU
Molecule: long non-coding RNA, 3514 nt
Filed under: Sus scrofa (pig)
Lineage: Eukaryota; Metazoa; Chordata; Mammalia; Artiodactyla; Suidae
Description: lncRNA (ENSSSCG00045018636.1)
Source: RNAcentral